RNAcentral lists this unclassified non-coding RNA (375 nucleotides) under uncultured bacterium. Its description in RNAcentral is "contains 16S-23S intergenic spacer region". The record is from RNAcentral.
UCCGGUUUGUCACCGGCGGUCCCCUUAGAGUUCCCAACUAAGUGCUGGCAACUAAGGGCAAGGGUUGCGCUCGUUGCGGGACUUAACCCAACAUCUCACGACACGAGCUGACGACAGCCAUGCAGCAUCUGUGCAUGAGCUCCGAAGAGCACCUCUGAUCUCUCAAAGGCUUCCCAUGCAUGUCAAGCCCAGGUAAGGUUCUUCGCGUUGCGUCGAAUUAAACCACAUGCUCCACCGUUUGUGCGGACCCCCGUCAAUUCCUUUGAGUUUCAAUCUUGCGAUCGUACUCCCCAGGUGGAUCACUUAACGCUUUCGCUUGGACACGUACUGUAAUAUCGCACAUGUCGAGUGAUCAUAGUUUAGGGCGUGGACUAC